GAGCUCGCCUCAGCAGCACCUGUGCCCAAAUUGAAGUGAUACAGAGAAGAUUGGCAUGGCCCCUGUGCAAGGAUGACAUGCAAAUUCGUUAAGUGCUCCGUAUUUUU
This 107-nucleotide small nuclear RNA is filed under the name Carlito syrichta (Philippine tarsier). Lineage: Eukaryota; Metazoa; Chordata; Mammalia; Primates; Tarsiidae. The record is from RNAcentral.